GAAAACCAGUCGUCAACCUGGAAUAGGAUUCAGUGCAGCUGCUCCGAGAUUAGAGAGAGAGAGAGUUAGCCACUAUCACUUGGAAAUAACCCCAAAACAAAAUAUUAAAAUAUACCUGAAAUUACGAAAAUCAGAGUGCAAUUGAGGUGUUACUGAAUUUGAAAUACUUACGCACCCAAGUCGGUACAAGCGUUGUAUAACUCUCUUCUUUCACCUGAAGCUCAACUAGUUUACCCCUGGAACCAUGGAGCGCUUCAUCUGAAUUUUCAGAAGCGAACGGGUGAGCUAAAACCCUCCAAAACGAAUAACCGGCUGCCCUC
This is a non-coding RNA of Drosophila suzukii, 320 nucleotides long. The record is from RefSeq and is a predicted model, not a curated record. NCBI's taxonomy places the organism in Eukaryota, Metazoa, Arthropoda, Insecta, Diptera, Drosophilidae.